This is a long non-coding RNA of Papaver somniferum (opium poppy), 1891 nucleotides long. RefSeq lists it as uncharacterized. The record is from RefSeq and is a predicted model, not a curated record. The transcript is spliced from 5 exons. Lineage: Eukaryota; Viridiplantae; Streptophyta; Magnoliopsida; Ranunculales; Papaveraceae.
CAAUUCGUAUACGGCAGUUCUCAUCUCUCUCUCUUGGUUUUUUUCUCUUUGGAACAUUUGAGAUCUCAUCUUUUACUUCAAUCUAGGGUUUCAUAAUUUAUUCUCCUCCAAUAAUCUUUUCAAUCUCGAACUUUUUAUUUCCCAAAAUUUUCUUCUUCAUCUCCAUCACCAGCUCUAUUGUUCCCGAAAUAAGACUCACGGUUAAUUAAGAACCUGAAAAGUAUCUUUGUGAUGGCGUCGAUACAAGUAAUUGCUUCAGGAAUUGGCACUAGAAGCUUAUUGCCUUCAUUUGAUGGACUUAGUAGAUCCAGUGAGAUUGACAAGUUCCAGGACUUAAGGAACGAACUAAAGGUUCGCGGCUAUCAGCAACGGAGGCACAUUGAUACAAGCGGGGUCUUUAGACCCAACUUGUUUUUAAGUUUUAGUGUUAAUAUAUCCAUUUUGGGGGAAAAUUAGGUAGUCGAGGAUUAAAAAUAUUGUUUCUGUCGAUUUUGACCCCAGGAGUAACAGAAUUUCCCUCCGUCACUGCAGUCGUGAUGGAAUAUGGAAGGUUUGACUUAUCAAAAUUAAAAUUAGAAUUCUCACAAACAAAAAUAACAGACCAUUUGUUAUAUUGAAAGUCUGUAGUUCACUGCAUAAUAUAUCGGUGUGUUUGUGUAUUAAGGAUUCGGUUUACUCAGACGUAGACACUGAUUUUGUUAUGUUCUUUAUGUAUUGCUUUUAACAAAGAAAAUGUGGUAAUACAUGACCCAAAAGUGUUCUCUUCUUGUAUAUGAGUUUAAACAGAAUUUCUUUAUGCGUUUGCAGAUGGGUACAGGAUAAACAGUCGAUGAAUGUGCAAUUUGUUGGUGUAUCUAGUUAUCUCUUUCCUUUUUAUGACGGAUUGAUCUUUGUCUUUUUGCAUGAACCUAAUGGCAAAUAGGUUAAAUUCAUCUCGGUUUUCAUAUGACUGAUGUUCUAUGAAAUAAAUAGUCUACUGUUGAAUUAUAUAGUGGUAUUAGAGAGCUUAUUGGAGAAAUCCAGUAAUGGAUCAAAUACCACAGAUGUUAACUUCUAUUGAUGUAAAUAUUUUGUGUGAUCAGAUUCAAAUUGUGGCGUGAAGAAUCCAUAAAGUUUGGAAAUAUUGGACUUCGGGUUAGUAUUAAGCAAUUCUAUGGAGACCUCCACUAACCAGGUGUAUGCAGAUUCGCCUAAUACUGUGUUGGUCUUCUUGGGUUGGUUGUUGAGAGCAUAGAUUGGUGUCCUGAAAUUGAAGGGUAAAUUUUUUAUCUUGGAUUUGAUGUUGAGAGCAUCAAAGCUAAAAGGUCGGCAUGCGAACAACUAGUUUAUUAUGCUCAGACUCACUCCUGCCAGUCUGCAAGUAAUUUGACUGAACAAUAUUAAAAUAAACAUCUCUCGUUCAUCAGAUGGAAGUACUAAAACCCAAGUGAUGGAUGCUUUAGAUGUAUGUAAUACCGGCCUGUACAAGUUUUCUACUGAAUCAGCUGAUCGACCAUCUCCAAUGUCAAUCUAUAGUUGAGGAUAAAUUGAAGAAAGCAUCUUUUUGUGUUUCGUUUUUUGAGAUAACAGUGACAAGGAAAAAUUUAGUAAUGUUGAACCACUUAACAACAGAAAUCUCCAGCCUCGGAAACAUUAAAGCUUCUCAGCGAACACCCAUUGUGCGACAAAAAUCACAAGGUAUAAUCAUCUUUUGAGUUGACUAGACUAUUGAGUUCUCUCUUAGAACCACUAUGCAAGAGUAUGUUGUUUCCAGUUUGUUGUCUUGUUUGGUCUUGAGCUUGCAAUGUUUGGUAGUUGAUGUUAAUUACUUGUAUAUAUUAGCAUUUUGUAGAAGUCAUUUGUAGAAACAUUUGUCUGUAGAAACAUUUUUAUUAAUAUAUUUCUCUAUUUU